GAUCCUGGCUCAGGACGAACGCUAGCUACAGGCUUAACACAUGCAAGUCGAGGGGCAGCAUUUUUCUAGCAAUAGAAGAGAUGGCGACCGGCGCACGGGUGAGUAACACGUAUCCAACCUACCGAUAACUCUGGAAUAGCCUUUCGAAAGAAAGAUUAAUACCGGAUAGUAUACGAAUAUCGCAUGAUAUUUUUAUUAAAGAAUUUCGGUUAUCGAUGGGGAUGCGUUCCAUUAGUUUGUUGGCGGGGUAACGG
Molecule: ribosomal RNA, 254 nt
Filed under: uncultured bacterium
Lineage: Bacteria
Description: partial 16S ribosomal RNA
Rfam family: Bacterial small subunit ribosomal RNA
Source: RNAcentral